RNAcentral lists this ribosomal RNA (473 nucleotides) under uncultured bacterium. Its description in RNAcentral is "bacterial SSU rRNA". It matches the Rfam family "Bacterial small subunit ribosomal RNA", at positions 28 to 534 of the family's 1533-position model. The record is from RNAcentral.
GAUGAACGCUAGCGGUAUGCUUAACACAUGCAAGUCGUACGGGAGUUUUUAACUCAAGUGGCGGACGGGUGAGUAACACGUGAGAAUUUACCUUUAGGAGGGGGAUAACAAUUGGAAACGAUUGCUAAUACCCCCAUAUGCUUUUUUAAGUGAAACGGAUUUAUUCGCCUAAAGAAAAGCUCGCGGCUGAUUAGCUAGUUGGUAAGGUAAUGGCUUACCAAGGCGACGAUCAGUAUCUGGUUUGAGAGGAUGAUCAGACACACUGGAACUGAGACACGGUCCAGACUCCUACGGGAGGCAGCAGUGGGGAAUUUUCCGCAAUGGGCGAAAGCCUGACGGAGCAAUACCGCGUGAGGGAAGAAAGCCUACUGGGUUGUAAACCUCUUUUUUCUAGGGAGGAAAAGAAUGACGUGUACCUGAAGAAUAAGACAUCGGCUAACUCCGUGCCAGCAGCCGCGGUAAUGUGACUACUG